UUAUGAAUGGUGACAUAAACCGCAUU
This 26-nucleotide small nuclear RNA is filed under the name Arabidopsis thaliana (thale cress). RNAcentral's name for it is "snRNA_04535". Lineage: Eukaryota; Viridiplantae; Streptophyta; Magnoliopsida; Brassicales; Brassicaceae. The record is from RNAcentral.